This 874-nucleotide ribosomal RNA is filed under the name Chaetopsis grisea. RNAcentral describes it as "LSU rRNA". It matches the Rfam family "Eukaryotic large subunit ribosomal RNA", at positions 35 to 937 of the family's 3401-position model. Lineage: Eukaryota; Fungi; Ascomycota. The record is from RNAcentral.
UAAGCAUAUUCUAUUAAGCGGAAGAAAAGAAAACCAACAGGAGAUUGCCCCAGUAACGGCGAGUGAAGCGGCAACAGCUCAAAUUUGAAAUCUGGCUCUAGGGCCCGAGUUGUAAUUUGUAGAGGAUGCUUUUGGCGAGGUUCCUUCUGAGUUCCCUGGAACGGGACGCCGGAGAGGGUGAGAGCCCCGUACGGUCGGAUACCAAGCCUCUGUAAAGCUCCUUCGACGAGUCGAGUAGUUUGGGAAUGCUGCUCAAAAUGGGAGGUAAAUUUCUUCUAAAGCUAAAUACUGGCCAGAGACCGAUAGCGCACAAGUAGAGUGAUCGAAAGAUGAAAAGCACUUUGAAAAGAGGGUUAAAUAGCACGUGAAAUUGUUGAAAGGGAAGCGCUUAUGAUCAGACUUGCGCCUGGUAAAUCAUCUAGCGUUCUCGCUAGUGCACUUUGCCGGCUCAGGCCAGCAUCAGUUUGCCGUCGGGGACAAAAGCUUCGGGAACGUAGCUCUCUUCGGGGAGUGUUAUAGCCCGCUGCAUAAUACCCUUCGGCGGACUGAGGUUCGCGCUCCGCAAGGAUGCUGGCAUAAUGGUCAUCAGCGACCCGUCUUGAAACACGGACCAAGGAGUCAACCUUAUGUGCGAGUGUUUGGGUGUUAAACCCCUACGCGUAAUGAAAGUGAACGCAGGUGAGAGCUUCGGCGCAUCAUCGACCGAUCCUGAUGUUCUCGGACGGAUUUGAGUAAGAGCAUAUAGGGUUGGACCCGAAAGAAGGUGAACUAUGCGUGUAUAGGGUGAAGCCAGAGGAAACUCUGGUGGAGGCUCGCAGCGGUUCUGACGUGCAAAUCGAUCGUCAAAUAUGCGCAUGGGGCGAAAGACUAAUCU